Plodia interpunctella (Indianmeal moth) is the source of this 628-nucleotide long non-coding RNA. RefSeq lists it as uncharacterized. The record is from RefSeq and is a predicted model, not a curated record. The transcript is spliced from 3 exons. NCBI's taxonomy places the organism in Eukaryota, Metazoa, Arthropoda, Insecta, Lepidoptera, Pyralidae.
UUCAAAAUCAUUUGUCAAUCCGAAUUUUAACGGUAAAUAGAAAAAUCAAGGAUGAAUUACAAUUUUACCUUUUAUAUUCCAAAACUUAAACCAAUAUCAUAAUUAGAAGAGAGUAAAGUUCAAAAUUGUUUGUCAAAUGGAAUGUUAACGGCAAAUAGAAAUCAAAGAUGAACACUUCGCUCGCGGUGGCAAGGUUGUCAAGUUUGAUUUGAGGACAAUUCGUGAUAAAUUUUGAACAGGCAGAGUUGCGCAAGGCUAUUGUGAUUUAGGGACCAGGGAGACCUAGGAGCCAACUUAAGAAGAAGAUGAAGAGAAGGAGUUAAGCCGAGAACUUUCCUAAGUUUGGCAAAUACUAUAUAGAUAUCUCUUAAAUAAGAAGAUGAAGAAGGCUCUCAUUAACAUUAUAUUAAAAGGGAGAGAGUUCCUCUUAAAGCACCGAAUCUAAUAGCACUUAAGAAUUCCCUUUGGAGCACCGAUCAAUAUAUCUUUGUAUUAUUUAUUUCAUUUAUAUCAAUGCAUAAAUUAUGUGAAAUUAAUGGUUGUCAAACUUUUGGACCAGAACCUGAAUAGAAAAUGGCAAAAAGGGAUUAUCCUCAUUGCUUUUUGUAAUAAUCUUGUUGACGUAAAU